RNAcentral lists this small RNA (16 nucleotides) under Arabidopsis thaliana (thale cress). RNAcentral's name for it is "ATSL180240". Lineage: Eukaryota; Viridiplantae; Streptophyta; Magnoliopsida; Brassicales; Brassicaceae. The record is from RNAcentral.
ACUUUGACAUUCAGAU